This is a long non-coding RNA of Anguilla rostrata (American eel), 351 nucleotides long. RefSeq lists it as uncharacterized. The transcript has 3 exons. Lineage: Eukaryota; Metazoa; Chordata; Actinopteri; Anguilliformes; Anguillidae. The record is from RefSeq and is a predicted model, not a curated record.
GAUUAAUGAUUAUACAGAUUCAGCACAGGGUCAGUGAUUAAUGAUUAUACAGCUUCAGCACAGGGUCAGUGAUUAAUGAUUAUACAAAUUCAGCACAUGGUCAGUGAUUACGAAUCUUCAGCACAGGGUCAGUGAUUACGAAUCUUCAGCACAGGAUUAGAACUUAUGAAGCUUCAGCACAGUGUCAGUGAUUAAUGAUAACACAGCUUCAGCACAGUGUCAGUGAUUAUGAAGCUUUAGCACAGUGUCAAUGAUCAUGAAGCUUCAGCACAGAGAAUACUCUUCAGGUGACACACUUAUUUGAGUGCACGUAUUCAAUACUCCACAGCAGUAAAAACACACAACACAGCC